RNAcentral lists this transfer RNA (77 nucleotides) under Parolsenella catena. RNAcentral describes it as "tRNA-Arg". It matches the Rfam family "tRNA". From Rfam's summary of the family: Transfer RNA (tRNA) molecules are approximately 80 nucleotides in length. Their secondary structure includes four short double-helical elements and three loops (D, anti-codon, and T loops). Further hydrogen bonds mediate the characteristic L-shaped molecular structure. tRNAs have two regions of fundamental functional importance: the anti-codon, which is responsible for specific mRNA codon recognition, and the 3' end, to which the tRNAs corresponding amino acid is attached (by aminoacyl-tRNA synthetases). tRNAs cope with the degeneracy of the genetic code in two manners: having more than one tRNA (with a specific anti-codon) for a particular amino acid; and 'wobble' base-pairing, i.e. permitting non-standard base-pairing at the 3rd anti-codon position. The record is from RNAcentral. Lineage: Bacteria; Bacillati; Actinomycetota; Coriobacteriia; Coriobacteriales; Atopobiaceae. RNAcentral also lists the same sequence under 3 other names.
GCUCUCUUAGCUCAGCUGGAUAGAGCGUUCGCCUCCGGAGCGAAAGGUCGCGGGUUCGAAUCCCACAGAGAGCACCA